Oncorhynchus nerka (sockeye salmon) is the source of this 2608-nucleotide long non-coding RNA. RefSeq lists it as uncharacterized. The transcript has 2 exons. NCBI's taxonomy places the organism in Eukaryota, Metazoa, Chordata, Actinopteri, Salmoniformes, Salmonidae. The record is from RefSeq and is a predicted model, not a curated record.
UCUCUUCCUGCAUGUUGGUUCCGAACCUUAAAAGUAACAACAAAGAAAGUUAGCAGGUCUGUUAGAUAAUGCCUAUUUCACACCAACUGGAUAAGGACAUUUCUGGGCUGCACCAGAACUUUUAAACGGGAACUCCAUUCUAUUCAUGUUACUAUAUUCCCCUUUCGUUUACAAAUCUCAUGACAUUGACUACGGACGCGGAUGUAUCUAGGGAGAUUUGUAUUUAGCUGAGCCUAAUUUUCGGCUAGCUAGCAAUUGCUGUGAAGCAGGGGCGGAGCCAAAGGGGUGUCCGGGUGGAACUGGAAACCCCUGACAUCUGAUUGGCAACCCAGGGUGCCACCCCAACAUUUCAUUCGCUACUGGUAGUUUGAUUGCUGAUUGACAUCUCAUUUCACCUCUUGUUGAAAGAAUCAUUUAUUUUGACGUUCGGCGGCGCAGUUUUCAAACCGAAGGUGAGGAAGAGAGAAUAUUAACGUUGGUUGUGAGAUACAGAAGAAUAAGAAGAACAUACAGAAGAAGAAGAGAGAAUAUUUCCACAGCUCCACGAGCUCUUUUCGCGAUUGGCGAAAGCAUCAUAUUUGAGGUAAGUUUUAAGGUUUAGCAUCGGGUUCAGGUUUCCUGAACAACUUUUAUGAAAGUUAAGUCACUGUGUAAGUUAAAGUUAGACCUCUGGCUCCAUUAACAGACAGUUAAUCAGAUAAGAGAGAAUGGUUCCCAAUUUAGCCUAACAUUAUGUUUACAUCUGUGCUAGUAAUACAAACAUAUACCAUGCAGUGUCGUAAAUUACAGUAUACGAAUGUUUAGCUAAUGUGGCGUAACUAGUAGGCUACACCUGUCAGUGUUCAGCAAGUUAACAUUCAGCAAAUUGAAAUCCAUUAACUCAGUUAGAUUUUCGUACUUGAACUCAAAACAAACAAUUGUUACUAUCAAUCUGUUAAUGUUACCCAAAAUAUGACCACAAUUUGCAGUUAGCCUGUUUGCUACCGUAAAGGUGUUAGAAAUUAUAGCUAGCUCAGUUACUUACUGCAGAGUAGAGCUAGCCAUGAUCUAACUUAGGCUGGUAGUUGAUUUUAAGGUACACUUAUGAAAAUGGGGAUUAGUAAUUAAGGUUGAGAUUGGACUAAAAUGUGGGUAAUUGGAUGCUUAGAUGUAACCAUAGACUGUCUUAUUUUCGCACAGGGUCAAUUAAACCGGAAAAAGAAAGUGGAGGGAGCCUGAUGACUCUCACAACAAGGGUCAUUUUUUUGACAACCUUAGAGGAAAUAGCAAAGAAUGACCCUCUCAUAGAGAAAGAAUGACCCUCUCAUAGAGAAAAGAAACACAAGCCACCAAAUCCAGGACGAACUUCUUGAGGGCUGAGAUGUCAUCUGAAAGCUUAGAUGCAGCCGGUCUCACGUUGAUUGCCUUGGAAAAACACGGUCUGGACUACAGAAAUAAUCUGGUGGGGCGAGGCUGUGGCGGUGCAUCCGUCAUGAGCGGAAAGCAUUCUGGUGUGUCUGUACGGAUUUAAAAAACAGUGCAAGAUUAGCAUUUUUAUGUGCAUUGUAAUGCACAUUGUUUUGAAUUUGGUUCUUGUCAAUAUCAGUGCCAGAGGCUGUUAACUUUUUUGUUCUCUCCUGCAGAAGCUUUAUAAAACUUUAUCUGGCUCGUACGUUCAUCUCAAGUGGCUCGCCGUUCAGAAAGACCUGAAACCGCAGCAGCAGCCCAGGGAACCACGGAGACUUACGGAUGUAAGGUUGGCAUGCGGAUACAUGGCAUGCCGUAAAUCUGAGGGACAGGCUUCAAGCAGUUCUGACAGAGCUACAGGACAUUGAAGAGAUUGCAGAGCACUGCAAAAUAAGUGUACAAACAGUGUGUAAAGAUGUUAGAGGAUGGGCGGAUUGGCUUCGAACUGUGAACAGAUGCCACUGUCAUAAAUCAUUGUUAUUUUGGCUAAACGUACAGGUCCUGGCCUAAGAGAAGCUUAAGAUUUCAAAACUCAUUGUUGAUGUAGGACAGAAAAAUAGUGACCAAAGUGAUGGUGAAGAGCUUCCAUAGAGCUGUCUUUUAUCAGGUGCUUGACAGUCUCACCGCUGAGCUGCAGAGGCGUUUUUCAAAGAAGAAUUGUGAGAUAAUGCAAAGGUGUCCAGCCUCUCAACCCAAACAGUACAACUUUCUUGAAUGAGGAGCUUCUGUUUGCCUUUGCUCAGACAUACGUGUCAGAUUUAGAGGACCUCCCUCAACAUGGACGAGUUUGUGGAACAUUUUGCCAGUUCUCACCAGAACCGGAGAAUUAUGCUGUUUUUAAAUCUACCAGGGAUAAAUUGGCCCUUAGGUGGUCCCUCUGGUCGUGAUUAACACCUGCACUGUGUACUAGCUAGCUGACAUUCUGAAAGCAUCCAUCCAAAGGGUUUCAUGACACACAGAUUUAAUUUGGUGUCAGUUGGGCCAAUUCCAAAACUUUUCUUUGUUAUUAGUUAACAUAAUAUAUAUGAGCAUAAAUACGAUACUGUAAAUUUGUAAAGACUUUUCAAGUCCAUUUCUGCUUGAUACCUGGUAUGUCAAAUCGCAGUGUGUUUUUCUGUUGUUGUAAAUAAACUUACAUGUAAUUUAUGUAACACACAAAUGC